Molecule: RNA transcript, 1827 nt
Organism: Mandrillus leucophaeus (drill)
Lineage: Eukaryota; Metazoa; Chordata; Mammalia; Primates; Cercopithecidae
Gene name: eukaryotic initiation factor 4A-II-like
Exons: 6
Source: RefSeq, a predicted model, not a curated record
AUGAGGGAAACAGAGACCCGGAGAGAGGAGCGCGGGGAGAAGAGAGCCCACGGUGUUCCCAGCCCUUCUACCAAUUUUCCUCCGCGAGCUGGCAUCUCUGUUGGAGUCAGAAACCAUCGUUUUUCUAUCACUGUUUGUGAAGAUGUGCUGAAUACCAACCGAAGACCAGGGCGCUCUGGGGAGGGCACCGGGCGGGCUCUAGCUUUGCAAGGGUAUGAUGUGAUUGCUCAAGCUCAGUCAGGUACUGGCAAGACAGCCACAUUUGCUAUUUCCAUCCUGCAACAGUUGGAGAUUGAGUUCAAGGAGACCCAAGCAUCAGUAUUGGCCCCCACCAGAGAGCUGGCUCAACAGAUCCAAAAGGUAAUUCUGGCACUUGGAGACUAUAUGGGAGCAACUUGUCAUGCCUGCAUUGGUGGAACAAAUGUUCCAAAUGAAAUGCAAAAACUGCAGGCUGAAGCACCACAUAUUGUUGUUGGUACACCGGGAGAGUGUUUGAUAUGUUAAACAGAAGACAUCUUUCUCCAAAAUUGAUCAAAAUGUUUGUUUUGGAUGAAGCAGAUGAAAUGUUGAGCCAUGGGUUUAAGGAUCAAAUCUAUGAGAUUUUCCAAAAACUAAACACAAGUAUUCAGGUUGUGUUGCUUUCUGCCACAAUGCCCAACGGAUGUGUUGGAAGUGACCAAAAAAUUUAUGAGAGAUCCAGUUUGAAUUCUGGUGAAAAAGGAAGAAUUGACCCUUGAAGGAAUCAAACAGUUUUAUAUUAAUGUUGAGAGAGAGGAAUGGAAGUUGGAUACACUUUGUGACUUGUACAAGACACUGACCAUUAUGCAGGCUGUUAUUUUUCUCAAUACGAGGCACAAGGUGGACUGGCUGGCUGAGAAAAUGCAUGCCAGAGACUUCACAGUUUCUGCUCUGCAUGGUGACGUGGACCAGAAGGAGAGAGAUGUUAUCAUGAGGAAAUUCCAGUCAGGGUCAAGUCAUGUUCUGAUCACUACUGACUUGUUGGGGAAGGUCGAAGAAUUGACCCUUGAAGGAAUCAAACAGUUUUAUAUUAAUGUUGAGAGAGAGGAAUGGAAGUUGGAUACACUUUGUGACUUGUACAAGACACUGACCAUUAUGCAGGCUGUUAUUUUUCUCAAUACGAGGCACAAGGUGGACUGGCUGGCUGAGAAAAUGCAUGCCAGAGACUUCACAGUUUCUGCUCUGCAUGGUGACGUGGACCAGAAGGAGAGAGAUGUUAUCAUGAGGAAAUUCCAGUCAGGGUCAAGUCAUGUUCUGAUCACUACUGACUUGUUGGUUCGUGGGAAUGAUGUGCAACAAGUGUCUUUGGUUAUAAAUUAUGAUCUACCUACCAAUCGUGAAAACUAUUUUCACAGGGCGAGUCGACUUGGCAGAGGGGGUCGAUUUGGGAGGAAAGGUGUGGCUAUAAACUUUGUUACUGAAGAAGACAAGAGGAUUCUUCAUGACAUUGAGACUUUCUACAAUACUACAGUGGAGGGGAUGCCCAUGAAUGUGGCUGACCUUAUUUAAUUCCUGGGAUGAGAGUUUUGGAUGCAGUGCUCGCUGUUGCUUAAUAGGCAAUCACAACGUGCAUUGUGCUUCUUUCUUCGGGAAUAUUUGAAUCUUGUCUCAAUGCUCAUAACGGAUCAGAAAUACAGAUUUUGAUAGCAAAGCAACAUUAGUCGCGAGCUCUUGGGAGGAAAAUCAUUGCCUUUAUCCUCUUUAGAGUUAGACUGUUGGAGUGGGUAUAAAAGAUGGGGUCUGUAAAAUCUUUCUUUCUUAGAAAUUUAUUUCCUAGUUCUGUAGAAAUGGUUGUAUUAGAUGUUCUCU